RNAcentral lists this ribosomal RNA (468 nucleotides) under uncultured bacterium. Its description in RNAcentral is "partial 16S ribosomal RNA". It matches the Rfam family "Bacterial small subunit ribosomal RNA", at positions 28 to 507 of the family's 1533-position model. The record is from RNAcentral.
GACGAACGCUGGCGGCGUGCUUAGCACAUGCAAGUCGAACGGAAAGGCCCUGCUUUUGUGGGGUGCUCGAGUGGCGAACGGGUGAGUAACACGUGAGUAACCUGCCCUUGACUUUGGGAUAACUUCAGGAAACUGGGGCUAAUACCGGAUAGGAGCUCCCGCUGCAUGGUGGGGGUUGGAAAGUUUCGGCGGUUGGGGAUGGACUCGCGGCUUAUCAGCUUGUUGGUGGGGUAGUGGCUUACCAAGGCUUUGACGGGUAGCCGGCCUGAGAGGGUGACCGGCCACAUUGGGACUGAGAUACGGCCCAGACUCCUACGGGAGGCAGCAGUGGGGAAUAUUGCACAAUGGGCGGAAGCCUGAUGCAGCAACGCCGCGUGCGGGAUGACGGCCUUCGGGUUGUAAACCGCUUUCGCCUGUGACGAAGCGUGAGUGACGGUAAUGGGUAAAGAAGCACCGGCUAACUACGUG